AGGGAGUACGUUUUCUUUCUAAUGUAGUUGAAAUCUUUUUUUCUGAGCCAAUCAGCAAUUCAUCAUACAGGUUUGUAAUUUCAGUUUUAUACCAACACUGAAGCAGCAAUCUGUUUUUCAGUGGGCUUUAUUCCUACAGUUAAGGCAAUGUAAUGCCAGCUUAGAAAGUGCAUUUCUGUAUCAUCUUCUGUCACAAGAUUGCCGUAUGAUUCAAAGGAAGUCACUUAAACCAGACUUUUGAGAGGAAAGAUGUUCCUCAUUUUCUUCGUGCUUAUCUUGUCACAGCAAAGUUUUCAUUUGCAAAAAUGCAGCUCUGACUGAAACUAAUAAAAGUUAGGCUGUGAAAAAAUAAACCAAAAAAACUAUGAAAAUAUGUAUGUAGACAACUCAAAAUGGGCAAAGACAAUCUUAAAUCUGUAUUUUUCUAAAGUUUAUACUUCACAAAUUGAUUUUAUUUAAAAGCAAAUAAAAUAGAAAAUGGAAAUAUCCUUAUGUUGAGCAAUUGGAAAACAUUAAAAUUGGUCAGAAUGCCAGAACUCAAGGGACAAUUACAUUCUAUUAACUAUUCAUGUUUAAAAUGGCUUAUGGCUAAGUCCUAGUGGGGAAAAUCAGUCUCCAGUGAUUUGCCUUAGGGUUGAAGGGAGCACAGGUGAUAGCUUUCAGAACCUUCUACCCUUUCUUUUUACUAAGCUCCUCUUUUCUGCUGUUACUGUCCAUCCCAUAUGAAAAGUAAAAUGCCCAGAUUGAACUAUUUAUCAUCCUAUUGCAUUUCAUGCCUCAAGGAUUAAGUAAAUAUUUAAUAAUACUGAGGAAUGUUGAAACACCAAAGCUGGGAAAAAACUGUAAAAGAUUCUACUAAGCUUGAAACCUGUCAUCCAGGACUUUUAACCAGUAGUUUCAACUGUUUUGCUGUGCAGGUUUGCUCCUUCAACAGUGAAUUGAGCUGAAACAAUGAUUUACAGCCUACUUACAUCCUUCCUGAAAGUAGCACUUCUCAACAGUUUUGUCAGAGCUUCAGAAGCACAUCUUGAGGUCAGUAACUUCAUGUACAGUGGUGGAUUGACCCUGUCUGGAUGUCAGGCAGCCACCAAAGCCUCCACCACUUCUCUCUGCAGCUGGACAGAGAAGAGAAAGUACAACAAAAGGUUCAUGAGUUAAGGACUGGGAGAGAGAUCAUUCACCAAAUACCAUCAUGGGAAAAGGAGACUUGAAUUAUAAAUGUUAAUUGAAUUUAUGACUAACAAAAUCAGAGCAGGAUAAUGAGAAGUAAAAUAAGAUCUUGAAAACACCUUCCCCCAUUCCUCCUUCCUUCCCAGUUCCAUCUCCUUCACCAGUGGUGUAAGGAGAGAGGAAAUGAGGGUUAUAGUCAACUUGUCACGCGUUUCUGCCACUGCUGAGGGAGAGGAGUCCUUCUCCUGCUCCAGCAUGGUUCCUCCCCUGGGAGACAGCUCUCCAUGAGCUUCUUCAAUGUGGGUUCACCCCACAGGCAACAGCUCUCUGUGAACUGCUGCAAUGUGAGUCACUCUUCCACAGGGUGCAGUCCUUCAAGGACAGCCUGCCCCAGAAUGUGUCCCCCGUGGGGUCACAAGUCCUACAGGGAAACCUCUCCAACAUGGGUUCCUCUCUCCAGG
RNAcentral lists this long non-coding RNA (1631 nucleotides) under Cyanistes caeruleus (blue tit). RNAcentral describes it as "lncRNA (ENSCCEG00000000878.1)". Lineage: Eukaryota; Metazoa; Chordata; Aves; Passeriformes; Paridae. The record is from RNAcentral.